UACGUAGGUGGCAAGCGUUGUCCGGAUUUAUUGGGUUUAAAGGGCGCGUAGGCGGCCCUGUAAGUCAGUGCUGAAAUAUCCGGGCUUAACCGGGAGGGUGGCAUUGAUACUGCGGGGCUAGAGUACAGAUGAGGUAGGCGGAAUUGACGGUGUAGCGGUGAAAUGCUUAGAUAUCGUGAAGAACACCUAUAGCGAAGGCAGGUCUCUGGGCCGCUACUGACGCUGAGAAGCGAAAGCAUGGGGAGCGAACAGG
This 253-nucleotide ribosomal RNA is filed under the name uncultured bacterium. RNAcentral's name for it is "partial 16S ribosomal RNA". It matches the Rfam family "Bacterial small subunit ribosomal RNA", at positions 524 to 776 of the family's 1533-position model. The record is from RNAcentral.